RNAcentral lists this ribosomal RNA (253 nucleotides) under uncultured bacterium. Its description in RNAcentral is "partial 16S ribosomal RNA". It matches the Rfam family "Bacterial small subunit ribosomal RNA", at positions 524 to 776 of the family's 1533-position model. The record is from RNAcentral.
GACGAACCGUACGAACGUUAUUCGGAAUCACUGGGCUUAAAGGGUGCGUAGGCGGCGCGGAAAGUUGGGUGUGAAAGCCCUCGGCUCAACCGAGGAAUUGCGCCCAAAACUACCGUGCUUGAGGGAGACAGAGGUGAGUGGAACUAAGGGUGGAGCGGUGAAAUGCGUUGAUAUCCUUAGGAACACCGGUGGCGAAAGCGACUCACUGGGUCUCUACUGACGCUGAGGCACGAAAGCUAGGGGAGCGAACGGG